RNAcentral lists this non-coding RNA (708 nucleotides) under Pan troglodytes (chimpanzee). The record is from RNAcentral. Lineage: Eukaryota; Metazoa; Chordata; Mammalia; Primates; Hominidae.
AACUGACAUAAGCUGACACUCUGCUGUAUAUCUUGGCACAAUAUUGCUUUCAUCUCUGGAGUCGGGUGUCUUACAAAUUUAACAGUGUCCGUUGGGACUGUCCAAAGAUAUUUACAGUAAUGCUGAGGUCAAGCAAUGGCAGUGGAACCGUACAGGAUGUGGGGGCUGGGCCAAAGCUGUGGGACUCCGGAUUUAUUUUGUGAGUUGGAGAAUUGUCUAGUCAUCAGACCAACAGAGGAGCAAACCUCUAACAGCAUCUCCCUGCUUCUUCCCACCCUCUCAACAGGAGGCAUUGGAGAAGGUUUAUCUAAUGACUGACAUCUGACGCAUAAGGUGCAGGCACACUUACUCAGGGUGCGAAUAUUUACUGAGUGUCUCUGUGGGGCCAUACACUACUCUAGGCACUGGACAUACACCAGUAAAGAGAAGCUGUCCUCAUCUGUCUUAUUUUCUGGUCUUAAAUCUAAAGCCAAGAGGCAUUUAGCAGCACAAAUCCUCUUCAGCAGUCAACACUCCCAAAGUUUCAGGCACUGAGGAAAAUAAAAACAAAACUGUGGCCCUUUCCCAAGAAGCGCACAGUGUCCACAAGAAUGUGAAAGCCAUCUGGAAACUGAUAAACUGCAAAAAGCUCAGCCAUCUUCUGUUGGCAAAAUAAAAGAAUGGAUGUCCUUGGAAGAACGAUGUCCUUGGAAAGUCAUCAAAUAAAAA